RNAcentral lists this non-coding RNA (182 nucleotides) under Bacillus sp. (in: firmicutes). Its description in RNAcentral is "Bacillus sp. SAM-I sequence". It matches the Rfam family "SAM riboswitch aptamer (S box leader)". Rfam says of the family: The SAM riboswitch is found upstream of a number of genes which code for proteins involved in methionine or cysteine biosynthesis in Gram-positive bacteria. The SAM riboswitch acts at the level of transcription termination control. RNAcentral also lists the same sequence under 1 other name. The record is from RNAcentral. Lineage: Bacteria; Bacillati; Bacillota; Bacilli; Caryophanales; Bacillaceae.
CUCUUAUCCCGAGCUGGUGGAGGGACAGGCCCGAUGAAACCCAGCAACCGGCAUUCUAUGUUAGAAUUUUUUAGUUAGAUCAUAACCGAUGUUUAUCGAUUGUGUAAUCUAAUUUUAAGAUUUUCUAAACUAGAAAGCAAUGGUGCUAACCUGACGCAAGGGAAUACCUUGAACGAUAAGAG